Molecule: microRNA, 22 nt
Filed under: Callorhinchus milii (elephant shark)
Lineage: Eukaryota; Metazoa; Chordata; Chondrichthyes; Chimaeriformes; Callorhinchidae
Description: Cmi-Novel-17_3p (mature (guide))
Source: RNAcentral
AAAGCCUUCCUUUUUGACUGUG